RNA transcript from Oryza sativa Japonica Group (Japanese rice), 1125 nucleotides. RefSeq lists it as uncharacterized. NCBI's taxonomy places the organism in Eukaryota, Viridiplantae, Streptophyta, Magnoliopsida, Poales, Poaceae. The record is from RefSeq and is a predicted model, not a curated record.
GACGCGCGCGGCCAAGAGGCAAACAAACAAACACGCACGCACACCACUACUCCAUCAGCAGCAGCCAGCGAGCCCGCGCCGCAGCCACCCGCGCGCGCGCGCGCGGCCGGUGAGGUGUGUGAGAUAGAUCGUCGAGCGCGCGUACGUCGAUCGUCGAGGCUGGCCGCCGCCGCGAGGAUACCGGCGCCGGUGCGCGCGGUGAUGGCGUGGUGGCGGAAGAAGGUCGUCUUCCCGGCGCGCCGCGCGUGGGCCGCCGUCUCCACCCGCGUCCGCGCCCGCAAGCCAGGCAGUGGAGGCAGCAUACUGAAGCUUCACGAGGAUGUGCAAACCUGUGGAUACAAGGACGUGCAGGUGAUGUUCGAGAUUCUGAAAUCCGAGCUGGAGGAAUCACGCGCCCCGACGAAGCAGCGAAAGCCGCCGGCGUGGAGGCCGCCGUCGGCGUGGUCCAGCCGGUCGUCGUCGAUCGCGGCCGCGCAAUAGAGACGUCGACGGCCAUGACACGGACACGCGGAUUGGCAGACACCGGCUAAUAAUAAGAAGUUAAGAACACCAACUUUAGUACUACGUGAUAGCUAUUAGUUUCGUACUUAAAUGUCUAAUCGCAGUUGUCAGGCAUCAUCAUCCAUCCCCCUGCCCGUCUAUCCGGCAAAAGAGCGAAAAUUUUCGGUAGCAUCAGGUCAUAAGCAUCUGAAAGUCUGAAAAAGAAAAACUGUACAUACUACAUGGCGGUUGCGCUGAAUUCUCGCAAACUCUGGAGGAAAAGAUGGAGAUGGAUUCCAACUUUUCCAAGUAGCAGAAAAUUACAAGUUCAAAGUUUCUACCUCCUCUAUCAAUGAAACAAGGCAAAGUUUUUGCCUUUGUUUUGUUUUUUGUUUUUCAAAGUUUCUGCCUUUUUAUGUGUUGUGUGGCCAGUGUGGGCUUAAGUGGAUUCUGGCAGGUGCAACUUGUAGGGUUCCUGUCAUGCCAGAAGUCGACAUUUAGCAGAACUGAGCAACCCCAAAGAAGCAACCCGUUAAUGGUCUAAUCUAAUGGGCUUUGAAUUGCCUUGGCAUGAGGCAAGCCUAGGCUCCUUUUAAUGACACGACUUUGGUCUAAACAUAUAUAAUGGCAUACAGCAUGAUGGUA